This is a small nuclear RNA of Suncus etruscus (white-toothed pygmy shrew), 105 nucleotides long. The record is from RefSeq and is a predicted model, not a curated record. Lineage: Eukaryota; Metazoa; Chordata; Mammalia; Eulipotyphla; Soricidae.
GUGCUUAGCUUCAGCAGCACAUAUACUAAAAUUGGAACAGAAAAGAUUAGCAUGGCCCCAGCGCAAAGGGAUUACACGCAAAUUCGUGAAGCAGUCCAUAUUUUU